UCAUGAUGAUGCCAACAAAUUGGUUUUAGCUCUGCUGGAGCAGUUUGACAAUUUCGUACCACAAGAGCUCGCAACUUCCGCUCAUAGUUCUCCAAUGAGUAUGAGCAAUGUAGAUUUGUUACCUGCAAGUAGUGGGUACAGUGAUGGAGGAGGAGAUGCUGCCGAGAAACGAGCUAUUGCCUCAUUCGAAGAGGAGCCCAUCGAAAGGAUUGAGAAACAAGAAAUAGCAUUGAAAUUGAUAGGAAAUGUCCUGGAAAAAGUCACUAUUGAUGCAAAUCUACUGGAAAGUGUCAGAGGUAUUGUAAAGCAGCAAUUUCAGUCAAUGGUAACAUUCUUAAAGAUAAGGAAGCGUGACUGGUCCGAACAAGGGCAGUCACUGAAAGUUAGGAUCAACGCCAAGCUUGCUGCUUAUCAAGCAGCUGCCAGGUUGCAGAUUAAAGCCCUCGCUUCCCUUGAUUUGGAUGGAAAAUCAUCAAAAAAAUUGUUGCAG
This 490-nucleotide unclassified non-coding RNA is filed under the name Hevea brasiliensis (rubber tree). The record is from RNAcentral. Lineage: Eukaryota; Viridiplantae; Streptophyta; Magnoliopsida; Malpighiales; Euphorbiaceae.